AUUGAACGCUGGCGGCAGGCCUAACACAUGCAAAUCGAACGGUAACAGGAAGCAGCUUGCUGCUUCGCUGACGAGUGGCGGACGGGUGAGUAAUGUCUGGGAAGCUGCCUGAUGGAGGGGGAUAACUACUGGAAACGGUAGCUAAUACCGCAUAAUGUCGCAAGACCAAAGAGGGGGACCUUCGGGCCUCUUGCCAUCGGAUGUGCCCAGAUGGGAUUAGCUUGUUGGUGGGGUAACGGCUCACCAAGGCGACGAUCCCUAGCUGGUCUGAGAGGAUGACCAGCCACACUGGAACUGAGACACGGUCCAGACUCCUACGGGAGGCAGCAGUGGGGAAUAUUGCACAAAGGGCGCAAGCCUGAUGCAGCCAUGCCGCGUGUAUGAAGAAGGCCUUCGGGUUGUAAAGUACUUUCAGCGGGGAGGAAGGGAGUAAAGUUAAUACCUUUGCUCAUUGACGUUACCCGCAGAAGAAGCACCGGCUAACUCCGUG
Molecule: ribosomal RNA, 490 nt
Filed under: uncultured bacterium
Lineage: Bacteria
Description: partial 16S ribosomal RNA
Rfam family: Bacterial small subunit ribosomal RNA
Source: RNAcentral